GAGGGUAUAGCUCAAGCAGUAGAGUGCAUGCUUAGCAUGCAUGAGGUCCUGGGUUCAAUCCCCAGUAUCUCCU
Transfer RNA from Camelus ferus (Wild Bactrian camel), 73 nucleotides. It matches the Rfam family "tRNA". From Rfam's summary of the family: Transfer RNA (tRNA) molecules are approximately 80 nucleotides in length. The record is from Rfam. NCBI's taxonomy places the organism in Eukaryota, Metazoa, Chordata, Mammalia, Artiodactyla, Camelidae.